RNAcentral lists this ribosomal RNA (1372 nucleotides) under uncultured bacterium. Its description in RNAcentral is "bacterial SSU rRNA". It matches the Rfam family "Bacterial small subunit ribosomal RNA", at positions 28 to 1381 of the family's 1533-position model. The record is from RNAcentral.
GAUGAACGCUGGCGGCGUGCCUAAUACAUGCAAGUCGAGCGAACGGACGAGAAGCUUGCUUCUCUGAUGUUAGCGGCGGACGGGUGAGUAACACGUGGAUAACCUACCUAUAAGACUGGGAUAACUUCGGGAAACCGGAGCUAAUACCGGAUAAUAUUUUGAACCGCAUGGUUCAAAAGUGAAAGACGGUCUUGCUGUCACUUAUAGAUGGAUCCGCGCUGCAUUAGCUAGUUGGUAAGGUAACGGCUUACCAAGGCAACGAUGCAUAGCCGACCUGAGAGGGUGAUCGGCCACACUGGAACUGAGACACGGUCCAGACUCCUACGGGAGGCAGCAGUAGGGAAUCUUCCGCAAUGGGCGAAAGCCUGACGGAGCAACGCCGCGUGAGUGAUGAAGGUCUUCGGAUCGUAAAACUCUGUUAUUAGGGAAGAACAUAUGUGUAAGUAACUGUGCACAUCUUGACGGUACCUAAUCAGAAAGCCACGGCUAACUACGUGCCAGCAGCCGCGGUAAUACGUAGGUGGCAAGCGUUAUCCGGAAUUAUUGGGCGUAAAGCGCGCGUAGGCGGUUUUUUAAGUCUGAUGUGAAAGCCCACGGCUCAACCGUGGAGGGUCAUUGGAAACUGGAAAACUUGAGUGCAGAAGAGGAAAGUGGAAUUCCAUGUGUAGCGGUGAAAUGCGCAGAGAUAUGGAGGAACACCAGUGGCGAAGGCGACUUUCUGGUCUGUAACUGACGCUGAUGUGCGAAAGCGUGGGGAUCAAACAGGAUUAGAUACCCUGGUAGUCCACGCCGUAAACGAUGAGUGCUAAGUGUUAGGGGGUUUCCGCCCCUUAGUGCUGCAGCUAACGCAUUAAGCACUCCGCCUGGGGAGUACGACCGCGAGGUUGAAACUCAAAGGAAUUGACGGGGACCCGCACAAGCGGUGGAGCAUGUGGUUUAAUUCGAAGCAACGCGAAGAACCUUACCAAAUCUUGACAUCCUUUGACAACUCUAGAGAUAGAGCUUUCCCCUUCGGGGGACAAAGUGACAGGUGGUGCAUGGUUGUCGUCAGCUCGUGUCGUGAGAUGUUGGGUUAAGUCCCGCAACGAGCGCAACCCUUAAGCUUAGUUGCCAUCAUUAAGUUGGGCACUCUAAGUUGACUGCCGGUGACAAACCGGAGGAAGGUGGGGAUGACGUCAAAUCAUCAUGCCCCUUAUGAUUUGGGCUACACACGUGCUACAAUGGACAAUACAAAGGGCAGCGAAACCGCGAGGUCAAGCAAAUCCCAUAAAGUUGUUCUCAGUUCGGAUUGUAGUCUGCAACUCGACUACAUGAAGCUGGAAUCGCUAGUAAUCGUAGAUCAGCAUGCUACGGUGAAUACGUUCCCGGGUCU